Molecule: non-coding RNA, 71 nt
Organism: Suillus hirtellus
Lineage: Eukaryota; Fungi; Basidiomycota; Agaricomycetes; Boletales; Suillaceae
Source: the annotation of a GenBank genome assembly
GGCUAAAUAGUCUAGUGGUCAAAAUGUCUGCCAGUGUUGGGAAGGCCUAGGUUCAAAUCCUGGUUCUGCCA